CUUGCUGGAAAGCAUACAUAUUUAAUGAUAAUUGUUUUCAUAAUAUAUAUAUCGAAUCUAUCGAAUCAAUUAUCGAUCGAUGUGGGAGAUCGAUUUAACUCAUAUUUUAAUGUAACGCAUACUUUUUAUUUUUAUAUAAAAGUAAUUACAAUUUGUGAAAUGAAUUAAUAAUAAUUAGCUUUAUUAGUGUGAAAAACGCAAAGUUCAAAACGGUAUAUAUCGCAGAAGCACUCAUCUUGACGCGUGAAGUUAGCGCUAGAGAUGAUCAUCUUUGACUCGAGCCAACUUAACACAGUUCUCUGUUUUAGGGGUUCACAUGGCUUCCGGAACGGAACGGGACGCUGGGUUCACUUUCUUUCCGGAACGGAACGGGACGCGGGACACAUCAGCUCCCGACCGAGACUUCUUCACAAAUCAUAUAAUCGAACGCAAGGAAUGUGGAACGACCCGCCGCCGCAAGUGCUAGAACAAGUGCUAUCGCCAAGUAUUUAAUCGAACGCGACGGAGGUGAAAUGACCCGGUGCUGUAUAGAACGGCAUCGCAGAUCAUAAUUGGUAAGUGUAACGUACACAUCUCAGUAAGGCCAAAGGCAGAGAACGAGACGUAGGUGUUGCAGUCGUAGUCGUAGGGUAAGACAGAGAAAAACGUAAGUUGUACACGUCGUAGUAUACUAUUCUAGACUCUAGAAUAGUAGUAUAUUACGACUAACGUUUUUUUCUGCCUUACCCUACGACUACGACUACGACACCUACGUCUCGUUCUCUGCCUAAGCAAGA
Monomorium pharaonis (pharaoh ant) is the source of this 776-nucleotide long non-coding RNA. RefSeq lists it as uncharacterized. The transcript is spliced from 3 exons. The record is from RefSeq and is a predicted model, not a curated record. NCBI's taxonomy places the organism in Eukaryota, Metazoa, Arthropoda, Insecta, Hymenoptera, Formicidae.